Molecule: long non-coding RNA, 97 nt
Organism: Sapajus apella (tufted capuchin)
Lineage: Eukaryota; Metazoa; Chordata; Mammalia; Primates; Cebidae
Exons: 3
Source: RefSeq, a predicted model, not a curated record
AAAGACCAAAAUACUUCUAAUUUUAAACAUUGAAAUAAAUGUGAGCUAUACAUGCAUUUAAGAAAGAUGAUAAAAAUAAAUCAUUACUCAUUUUUUG